CGGUAGCCGGACUGAGAGGUGAGUCGGCCACAUUGGGACUGAGACACGGCCCAGACUCCUACGGAAGGCAGCAG
RNAcentral lists this ribosomal RNA (74 nucleotides) under uncultured bacterium. Its description in RNAcentral is "partial 16S ribosomal RNA". It matches the Rfam family "Bacterial small subunit ribosomal RNA", at positions 281 to 354 of the family's 1533-position model. The record is from RNAcentral.